This 1923-nucleotide ribosomal RNA is filed under the name Triticum aestivum (bread wheat). RNAcentral's name for it is "partial small subunit ribosomal RNA". The record is from RNAcentral. Lineage: Eukaryota; Viridiplantae; Streptophyta; Magnoliopsida; Poales; Poaceae.
AUGCUGCACCUUGAAUUCCCCGCCAGCUUCCCCUUCCUCGGCCAGGUCGCGCCGGCGCCUUCCGAUUCCCUUCACCUGCUUCCUCCCAUCACCUCACGCCAAUGCACCCACAUCGCCGCGUCCCCGUCUGUCCCCGUCAGAACUACAAUGGCGAUCGAGACCCCGGCACCCGCAUCCCCGACCGCCUGGCCCGCUUCCCCGACUGGCCGCACCCUCUCCGCGGCCUUCGCCGACGACCGCCGCCGGGAGGCCAGGCGCCGCGCCGUGCACCUCCUCCCGGGCUGCGGCAGGCCGCCGCAGCCGCGCUCCAAUCUCAUCAACCGCGUGCUCCACCGAUUCGGCGCCGCCUGCGUCCCUAAGAGCACCGCCGCCACCCCCACCCGGACGCCCCCGCUGCCUCGGCGGUCGUCAGUGUCGACGCCCCCGCGGCCUCGGCCGUCGUCGGCGUCGACGCCGCCCACGUCAACCCAGGUGCCGGCUCGCCUAGACCAGGCAGACGCGGAGAGAGUCGCCGCCAGGAGGCCUUUGAGGGAGAGAGAGGACGCCGCCGCCGUCGGACGAGAGCCGACGCCGCCGGUGUCCCAAGCCAGUGCCGUGGCGGCUACUGAAGUGGUUGCCAGCCUUGCGAGCAACUGGAGAAGCGAUACCGCCACCACCGUCGGGAGAGGAGCAAACAUCUGGGUGAGGGUUUCGCGCAAGCCGAAGUCGCCGCAGGUGGACUCUCCGCAGCUGUCAGUGGAAUCAACAGCGGCGGCGGAGGAUCAGUACGUGUGGGCGGACAGGUACCGGCCCAGUGUGCUCGGAGAAUUCAUCUGCAACAAGACUGUCGCCGAUGAGCUCCACCGGAUGGUGACUGAACGCCAAUGCAACCAUUUCAUAUUUGAAGGGGCACAGUCGGUCGGGAAGAGAAGCAUGGUGCUGGCCCUUUUAAGAGAUGCUUUUGGUCCUGAUAAUCUCAAGAUAGAGGAACUCACAAAGAGAAUCGAGCUGAAGGGAGAAAUCGCCAAACACAUUGAUGUUAAAGUGAAGAUUUCAGAUCAUCACGUGGAGGUAAACUUGGCUGAUUUACAUGGCUAUGAGAAGUAUGUCAUAACUACUUUGUUGAAUGAGUCAAUCCCACCACCGGACUUGAUUUGCGAUCAUGCUAACUGCAAAGUGAUUGUGGUCCAUGAUGCUGAUAGGCUUUCGUCUGAUCUUCAGCAUUAUGUCGGUUGGUUUUUGGGGAGGUAUGCAGGUUGCAACAAAAUUAUUUUCAGCUGCUCCAGUUCUUCAAACCUUGAUGCCGUUGAACAUCUAUGCAAGGUUGUCCGACUUAAACCACCUUCAUUUGAUGAGAUAAUCAAGGUUCUAGAGUUCAUUGCUACACAAGAAGGCAUAGAUUUGCCUCGUGGACUUGCCAGUAGAAUUGCAGCUAGCGCGAGUAAUAAUCUCCGACAGGCAAUACGCUCUUUUGAAGCUACAUGGAAAGCAAACUAUCCAUUCACGAAAGACCAACCCAUUUUGACUGGAUGGGAGGAGGAAAUUUAUGAUGUUGCCAAAAAAAUCAUGGAGGAGCCAAGUCCAAAGCAGCUGUAUCUCAUUCGGCGGAAGAUCAGAAAAAUGAUUGAACAUAAUGUGUCACCUUAUUUCAUUUUCUGUCACUUGGUUAAUGAACUGAAAAGGGACAGGGAUGAAGAUUUUCAGAAUAGCAUCGAUGAACUGGCACUGGAGUUGAACCAAAACCAGCAGUGCAAAGAAUACAAAUCUCAGGACACAAUUUCUGACAAAAGAGCUAUCAAUAUAGAAGGUUUCGCUGUUGAAGGCCCUGACCAAGGGGAAGCCAUCCAAUGCUUCAUAAAGAUUGAAGAAUUCACUGUGAGGUUCAUGAGCUUCUACAGAUCUUUAAUAACGAAGAACUCAAGCAGAGGCGGUGUUCCUUCAUGA